Non-coding RNA from Triticum aestivum (bread wheat), 135 nucleotides. Lineage: Eukaryota; Viridiplantae; Streptophyta; Magnoliopsida; Poales; Poaceae. The record is from Rfam.
UUUGUACUCACUCCAUCCCAAAAUUCUUGUCUUAAAUUUGUUUAAAUACGGAUGUAUCUAGUUACAUUUUAGUGUUAGAUACAUCCGUAUCUAAACAAAUGUAAGACAAGAAUUUUGGGACGGAGGGAAUACUAC